This is a long non-coding RNA of Micropterus dolomieu (smallmouth bass), 494 nucleotides long. RefSeq lists it as uncharacterized. The record is from RefSeq and is a predicted model, not a curated record. Lineage: Eukaryota; Metazoa; Chordata; Actinopteri; Centrarchiformes; Centrarchidae. The transcript is spliced from 2 exons.
UGCGCACCGUGUAGCCAACGUGCACUGAGAAUCGCAAUGAAAGAUAAACGUGGAAUUUGAAGGAGCAGGUGUCUCUCCUGUAGGGACUGCAGAGUCUUCAUAGACAGGAGUUGGACAGGGUGUCCUUUUUUGUCCUCUGCCAGUGCAGAUUGCUUUCUCUUCUUUUUCUGAAAUUAUGCAAACAGUCCCUCUACAUGCAUGCAAUGUCUGUGGACAGAGGGGUCAAGGACAGAGCAACUCUCGUAAAACUCAAGGAACCCGAGAUCUUGUAUUAUGCCCAUGUGAGCCUGGCACUUCCUCCUGCAGAGUGAACUGGUAUGGCCGGUCUAUUUGGUUCCAGUCGCUGGGGAAACUGGUGCCAUGGAGAGAGCCUCCCCCUCCUCCUUACGCUGGACAAAGGCAGAUGACAGGUCAAAGAAAUUCUCCCAGAAACACUGUACAAACAUGCAGGAAUGAAUCCACAAGCAAAUACAGCAGUGUCAGUAGCAGGGUUA